CCAGCUCUCUUUGCCUUUUGGCUUCGGUCAAGUGCAGUAACUGUUCUUUUCUGUUUAAUCUCAGAAAGCUUCCCCACGGGGUUGCAGAAAGACUAAACCAGUUUUUGGACCCGGCUCCUCAGUCACUGAGCACCGCUCAUACUCUUGGGGCACAGUGUCGCUUCUACUGCACUGACGGAAGCUGACGCAAAGAACA
Molecule: small nuclear RNA, 196 nt
Filed under: Macrophomina phaseolina MS6
Lineage: Eukaryota; Fungi; Ascomycota; Dothideomycetes; Botryosphaeriales; Botryosphaeriaceae
Description: U2 spliceosomal RNA
Rfam family: U2 spliceosomal RNA
About the family: U2 is a small nuclear RNA (snRNA) component of the spliceosome (involved in pre-mRNA splicing). Complementary binding between U2 snRNA (in an area lying towards the 5' end but 3' to hairpin I) and the branchpoint sequence (BPS) of the intron results the bulging out of an unpaired adenosine, on the BPS, which initiates a nucleophilic attack at the intronic 5' splice site, thus starting the first of two transesterification reactions that mediate splicing.
Source: Rfam by way of RNAcentral